RNAcentral lists this transfer RNA (321 nucleotides) under Kluyveromyces marxianus. Its description in RNAcentral is "tRNA-Val". Lineage: Eukaryota; Fungi; Ascomycota; Saccharomycetes; Saccharomycetales; Saccharomycetaceae. The record is from RNAcentral.
AUGAUAUUGAAAAGUCUAGUUGAAUCGAGUAUCAAAUCGCUCCAGGAUCCGAUCGCCUCUCUUGAUGUGUCAGACCUUGCCACCGAUCUUUCCAAUGCCUUCAUCGAUGGUGAUAUCAAUACCAUAGUCAAUAUUCUGCCCGAGUUUGUCUCACUACUGCUCCGCUGCCCACAGGAGAUGCAGACCAUAGCAGAAGACUUCUUGCGAUGCUUAUCCUCGGCAAAGCAGACCGAUUCCGUGAUAAACGCCAACAUUGCGUUCCAGGAAAAGCUUAAAAUUAGACAAUAUAGUUACAGAUAUGGUGAUAGUGAUGAAGUAUAA